This 285-nucleotide long non-coding RNA is filed under the name Vigna radiata. Its description in RNAcentral is "long non-coding RNA (VRAD_LNC005931)". The record is from RNAcentral. Lineage: Eukaryota; Viridiplantae; Streptophyta; Magnoliopsida; Fabales; Fabaceae.
AUCAUAUAAAAAAAUUCAAAGUAAAUAGUUGAUAUUAAAGUUUAUGAAUGACAUAAAAUGUUUUGAUUAAAUUAAAAAUACUUAUAAUUCUUUUAAGAAACAUUGAUCAAACAAAACAAAUGAUCUUUGUGAUAAAGUUGCAAAUGAUUUGAGAAAAAUGUUAUUUUUUGCUAUUAUUAUUUCUUCCACGACCAUCAUUGCACCCUUCUUCCUCUGCCUACACCGGUGGUCGUCGUUCAUCACUUUCUUUUUCCUUUAUUGACAUCUCCACCCAUAACUUCAUCC